CGGUCUGCUUAACACAUGCAAGUCGAACGCAACCUUCGGGUUGAGUGGCGGACGGGUGAGUAACGCGUGAGAAUCUGCCUUGGGGUCGGGGACAACCACUGGAAACGGUGGCUAAUACCGGAUAAGCCUUUGGGUAAAAGAUUUAUUGCCCCAAGAGGAGCUCGCGUCUGAUUAGCUAGUUGGUGAGGUAAAAGCUCACCAAGGCAGCGAUCAGUAGCUGGUCUGAGAGGACGAUCAGCCACACUGGGACUGAGACACGGCCCAGACUCCUACGGGAGGCAGCAGUGGGGAAUUUUCCGCAAUGGGCGAAAGCCUGACGGAGCAAGACCGCGUGAGGGAGGAAGGCUCUUGGGUUGUAAACCUCUUUUCUCAGGGAAGAAGCUCUGACGGUACCUGAGGAAUCAGCCUCGGCUAACUCCGUGCCAGCAGCCGCGGUAAUACGGAGGAGGCAAGCGUUAUCCGGAAUUAUUGGGCGUAAAGCGUCCGCAGGUGGCGAUUCAAGUCUGCUGUCAAAGCACGGGGCUUAACUCCGUUAAGGCAGUGGAAACUGAAUAGCUAGAGUGCCGUAGGGGUAGAGGGAAUUCCCGGUGUAGCGGUGAAAUGCGUAGAGAUCGGGAAGAACAUCGGUGGCGAAAGCGCUCUACUGGACGGCAACUGACACUCAGGGACGAAAGCUAGGGGAGCGAAUGGGAUUAGAUACCCCAGUAGUCCUAGCUGUAAACGAUGGAUACUAGGUGUAGCUUGUAUCGACCCGAGCUGUGCCGAAGCUAACGCGUUAAGUAUCCCGCCUGGGGAGUACGCACGCA
This 806-nucleotide ribosomal RNA is filed under the name uncultured organism. RNAcentral's name for it is "bacterial SSU rRNA". It matches the Rfam family "Bacterial small subunit ribosomal RNA", at positions 40 to 890 of the family's 1533-position model. The record is from RNAcentral.